This 182-nucleotide small nucleolar RNA is filed under the name Dasypus novemcinctus (nine-banded armadillo). RNAcentral's name for it is "Small nucleolar RNA SNORA23 (ENSDNOG00000027043.1)". It matches the Rfam family "Small nucleolar RNA SNORA23". From Rfam's summary of the family: The members of this family belong to the H/ACA class of snoRNAs which are thought to guide the sites of modification of uridines to pseudouridines. This family includes human snoRNA ACA23 (SNORA23) and mouse snoMBI-1. ACA23 is predicted to guide the pseudouridylation of residue U3737 and U4331 of 28S rRNA. Lineage: Eukaryota; Metazoa; Chordata; Mammalia; Cingulata; Dasypodidae. The record is from RNAcentral.
GCUGUAAUGUGUGCAUAGUUUCAUCUAUGUCUGGUAGCAAUGUCUGUCUGUGUUUUGCAUUCAGAGCUUGCUAUCCACACAAUGCCAUGCAGCCAGAGAGUAACUUGGGGUCAUAGUACUGGUCUAGUAUUGUCUCUUUGGACACUUCCACCACUGGCCAGCCUCCAAAUUCCCAUACACAG